This 2474-nucleotide long non-coding RNA is filed under the name Manihot esculenta (cassava). RNAcentral describes it as "long non-coding RNA (MESC_LNC008847)". The record is from RNAcentral. Lineage: Eukaryota; Viridiplantae; Streptophyta; Magnoliopsida; Malpighiales; Euphorbiaceae.
ACGGUGACAAAAAAAGACUCGAAUAAAGUCUCUAUUAUAUCAGAACCUAUCUUAUACUAUAGAAGGUCACCCAUCUUUGUACUACUCUCUCCAACUAUCUUUUUGACCUUGCUUUCGAAAUUAAUUUUGCACAAUCCAACUUCUGUGUAACGACCCCAAAAAGGACCGUUACCGGCGCUAGGAUUCAGGUCGGCUUAAGGCCGCCAGAACCAGUAGCAAGCCUGCUAUACUCUCUGUGUACCUGUAAACCUCAUACAUGAUCAUACAUUUUCUGUGAAAAUAACACUCUUUGCUGAACCAAGGCUUAACCUGUGCAUGCACUAUCUCUGUACUCUGUACUCAUGUACUCUGUACUCUGUAUCCCUGACUAGAGCUUGCUCUAGAUGGGUAAACUCAUGCCUGUUAAGCCUGGUUUUCACAUACAGGAAAACAUAUAUACAUAUACAGAUCAUGUACAAAACAUACUUCACUAGGUCAAGCAACAACUAUGACAUCUCUUUAAUAUUACAUGUCCACUCUAAGCUAUUACAAAUCUCUUUACUUUUCCUGUACUCUGCUGGACUGUCCCUGUACACUGUACACUGAACCUGCACACUGAACCUGCAAAACUGGGGUUAAGGGAGUGGGAUGAGCUCUAUAGCCCAGUGAGUAGAACAGUAAAACAUCUCAGGAAAAUAUGAUCUCAUGGAAUGCACCAUAUCACAGACAAGCCACAUCAAGAGUAAACCUGUCACCACAUAGUCCCAGUAACUCUGUGCCAGGGCGUAGAAUCGAGCACCUGGUCUUCCUGUCAUAUAUGUAUAUGUGUAUAUAACACCUCUGUACUUACCAUUGCCAGGGCGUAGUCAAAGGCUCCUGGACUUUGCUAUACCUGCCAGGGCGUAGUCAAAGGCUCCUGGACUUCACUAUACCUGCCAAGGCGUAGUCAAAGGCUCCUGGACUUCCUGUCUGAGACUAUUGGAUCAUUCAGCAUUCACUCACAUCACCAAAUAACGAUGCAAUGCAACAUAUUCGUGAAAACUAAUGCAAUCAACCUAUGGCAUAAACAUGAUGCAUGAGAUAUGCUAAAAGCAGUUUGUGGUUCAAUUAAAAGUCAUAAGUUUAGUUCCACUCACCUCUGGCUAUCUGGACUGACUGACUCUGCAGGCUCUGAACCUCUGGAGCAGUACUCACUGCUGCUCUCUCUGGUUCCUCUGGUCUGUACCUAUACAGAUGGACUCAAAUGAGGGACCAAACAAGCGUAGAAAUAACUCUCUUAAACUUCCCCAAGAAUCCCCUUAAACUCACUCAACUAUCCAUGCAAAGCAUGCAAAAGAAAGCUGGACAGGACACUUUCGGCGGCAGGUUCGGCGGCCGAAUGUCCUCUCCAGAGACGAAACUCAAGCACCUUCGGCGGCACCUUCGGCGGCCGAAUCCCUCAAACAGAGCCGAACAUGCAAAACAGGCUGUGGCAGCCAAGCCACCAUGCAAGAGGUUCGGUGGCCGAAUGAACCUUCGGCUGCCGAACCUGAGUUCAUCCAGAACUCAGCUUUAACGGUAAACCAUCUUCUCCUUCCCUUCAACCACUCAAACCAUAUAUACACCAACUCCUCAACACACAUAUACUCACGUAUAUGAUCACAGGGGUCCAAAACUAUCUAAUAACCCCAAACAACAAAUCAAACAUAACACAGAAACAUGUAUACAUGCAUAAAUCAUCCAAACUCCCAUUUACACCUAAACAUGCAUCUCUCUCUCUCAACUUCCAUAAAACCUUCAGAAAACACAUAAACAGGUUCAAGAGCAUUACUUACCUCCUGUAACAAGAAGCUGAACACUUCUGAACUAAGGAAAACGGACCAACUCUCCUCAAACUCUCAAACUCUCACAAACUUAGCUUUUUGCUUCAAAACAUUCAAACCCUUGUGAAUGAUCAAAACACUCUGCAUGAGCUGCUCAAACUCAGCAAAUAAACCAGGGGAGACGUGGCCAACUUCUGGCAACAAAUUGGACAUAACACCUGUCCAAAAUGCUGACUAAGGAUGCCCAAAAGCUAGCUGGCCAACUCAGUUUCGGCUGCCCAAUCGCAUGCUAAACCAUGCAACAUUCGGGGGCCGAACUUACCUUUGGAAGCCGAACAUUGGGCACUUUCGGCGGCCGAACUUAUCUUCGGCGGCCGAACUUGGCUGAAGUCUCCAUGACCUAUUGUCUCUUCAAACUCAAAACUAUAUAACUUACAAACCUUAAAACACCUCAUAACACUUAGAAAACAAAAAUCCUACCCUUUUAUCGAAUCCCAGCACCCCGGAUUCCACCAGACAACAGGAAUUCCGGUGCCGGACUCAAGCCGGGUAUUACAUUCUGCUCCCGAGGUUGUAAUGCAGUAAUAGUAGCGUCAGGCUUGAAAUUGGUUUGGCACCAUUAGACGAAUUGUUUGUAGUCCACAGGGCAAAACCAUAUGCUUGCACCCUCAUGAGGACUUGCCUUCGCUCUUC